GAUGAACGCUGGCGGCGUGCCUAAAACAUGCAAGUCGAGCGGUAAGGCUCUGCACUUAGUGUUUGAUCGAAGUAAUUUAUUACUACAGUAGACCAAUUGGAACCUUGGCGGGUGAAGAGCGGAAUAGGAAGAUCGAAUUAUAAGUGUAGAGUACACGAGCGGCGGACGGGUGAGUAACACGUGGGAAUCUACCCCAAACUGCGGGAUAAGCACCGGAAACGGUGUCUAAUACCGCAUAUGGUCUUCGGAUUAAAGCUUCGGCGGUUUGGGAAGAGCCCGCGUAAGAUUAGCUAGUUGGUGAGGUAAAGGCUCACCAAGGCGACGAUCUUUAGCUGGUUUGAGAGGAUGAUCAGCCACACUGGAACUGAGACACGGUCCAGACUCCUACGGGAGGCAGCAGUUAGGAAUUUUCCACAAUGGGCGCAAGCCUGAUGGAGCAACGCCGCGUGCAGGAUGAAGGUUUUCGGAUUGUAAACUGCUUUAUGUGUGAAGAAUAUGACGGUAACACAUAG
This 512-nucleotide ribosomal RNA is filed under the name uncultured bacterium. RNAcentral describes it as "bacterial SSU rRNA". It matches the Rfam family "Bacterial small subunit ribosomal RNA", at positions 28 to 485 of the family's 1533-position model. The record is from RNAcentral.